Long non-coding RNA from Dreissena polymorpha, 461 nucleotides. RefSeq lists it as uncharacterized. The transcript is spliced from 2 exons. The record is from RefSeq and is a predicted model, not a curated record. Lineage: Eukaryota; Metazoa; Mollusca; Bivalvia; Myida; Dreissenidae.
UUUUUAACCAGGUUUUCCGAAGGAAAAAACUGGUUAUUAGAUUGGCGAAUGCGGGCGGGCUGGCUGGCUGGCGGGCUGGCUGGCUGGCUGGCGGAAUAAGCUUGUCCGGGCCAUAACUAUGUCGUUCAUUGUCAGAUUUUAAAAUCAUUUGGCACAUUUGUUCACCAUCAUUGGACGGUGUGUCGCGCGAAAUAAUUACGUCGAUAUCUCCAAGGUCAAGGUCACACUUUGAGUUCAAAGGUCAAAAAUGGCCAUAAAUGAGCUUGUCCUGGCCAUAACUAUGUCAUUCAUUGUGAGAUUUUAAAAUCAUUUGGCACAUUUGUUCACCAUCAUGGGACGGUGUGUCCCACGAAAGAAUCACGUCAAUAUCUCCAAUGUCAAGGUCGCCACGACUAAAAAUAGAUUUAAAAAAAAAAAAAAAUUACAAAGGGGGUUAAUUUUUUUUGGUCAUUUCAAAAGUU